AGGCGCAUAGCUUAAUGGUUAAAGUAACCGUUUCCAAAACGGUUGAUGGGAGUUCGAUUCUCUCUGUGCUU
This 71-nucleotide transfer RNA is filed under the name Neochloris aquatica. Its description in RNAcentral is "tRNA-Trp". It matches the Rfam family "tRNA". From Rfam's summary of the family: Transfer RNA (tRNA) molecules are approximately 80 nucleotides in length. Their secondary structure includes four short double-helical elements and three loops (D, anti-codon, and T loops). The record is from RNAcentral. Lineage: Eukaryota; Viridiplantae; Chlorophyta; Chlorophyceae; Sphaeropleales; Neochloridaceae.